RNAcentral lists this ribosomal RNA (285 nucleotides) under Nitzschia palea. RNAcentral's name for it is "partial 18S ribosomal RNA". It matches the Rfam family "Eukaryotic small subunit ribosomal RNA", at positions 598 to 888 of the family's 1831-position model. Lineage: Eukaryota; Bacillariophyta; Bacillariophyceae; Bacillariales; Bacillariaceae. The record is from RNAcentral.
CGUAUAUUAAAGUUGUUGCAGUUAAAAAGCUCGUAGUUGGAUUUGUGGCAGUCGCAUGCGGCCCGGCAUUCGUGUCGGUGUUUGCUCGCGUCGCCAUCCUUGGGUGGAACCUGUGUGGCAUUAGGUUGUCGUGCAGGGGAUGCCCAUCAUUUACUGUGAAAAAAUUAGAGUGUUCAAAGCAGGCUUAUGCCGUUGAAUAUAUUAGCAUGGAAUAAUAAGAUAGGACCUUGGUACUAUUUUGUUGGUUUGCGCACCAAGGUAAUGAUUAAUAGGGACAGUUGGGGG